Molecule: long non-coding RNA, 933 nt
Filed under: Mus musculus (house mouse)
Lineage: Eukaryota; Metazoa; Chordata; Mammalia; Rodentia; Muridae
Description: long non-coding RNA chr2:92306174-92307107
Source: RNAcentral
UUUUCAAAAUCAAGAUUUUACAAAAGAUGUAAAUACUUGUAAUCCCAGCACUUAAGAGGCUGAGAUGGGAUGCUGAGGAAUUUGAGGCCAGCCUGGGCUACAUAGAGUUCCAUACCUCUCUGGACCAUAUAGUAAAAUCUUGGCUCUAAAACAGAAGAGAAUGUACUUAAAGAUGCCUGGUGAGUGAACAAAUGUGCUGCUUGAACUCUGAACCUUCAGUCCUCGUUGUAGGUCGUGUUGAAUUUUAUGCUCAUGCCCCCCUGUAUGCACAUAUGACCCAAGAGGCAGAGCUAACAGCGAGCCACGUUGUUGGGAUGACUGCUGAUACUCCUCAGGUCUCUGUGGUUAGGAUUGAAAAGAUGCAAGAUAUGGGGGUGAAAAACUUACUCUGAAAUGCUGUAAGGGUUACAGAGCCAUUGGUUGAGGUGGUACAAAUAUAGCUACCUUUUGUUUCCCAAAUAAUUGGGAUCCUAUUGAAGAUGAAUUGUGCCGGCACCUACUUUCUAAACUGGCUUUCAUUUUAUCUGCUCAAGCAUGCACACCUAACCUCUGCUUAGGACAGGGAGGCACUAAUCUGCUUCUGUGCACUUGGAAGGGAACGCUGGCAAUGCAUCGAACUCCGGGGGAUGCAUUAGUAAUGGAAUUUUUUUUUCUCACUCUCAAAAAGGAAAUCAUUUAUGUGGCCGCUGUCUAGAAGAAUGCAAAUAGACAUUGGUUGUUGUUUUCUAAGUUAAUCACUGAGCAGAACAUAAAAGAGAAAUACCUUAACAACUAAAUACCCGAAAUACCUACUCUUUACAUAUCUGUAGACCCAGUGUGAUCUAAUUCAAUGUAGGUCACCUUGAAAUUGUGUUGCCCUAUAAGCUUUAGUGUAUCUUGUACUAUGUUCUGUGUCUCUUACCAUUAUUAAACUCUCAAAAAACAAACAAGAAC